Molecule: ribosomal RNA, 446 nt
Filed under: uncultured bacterium
Lineage: Bacteria
Description: partial 16S ribosomal RNA
Rfam family: Bacterial small subunit ribosomal RNA
Source: RNAcentral
CCAGACUCCUACGGGAGGCAGCAGUGGGGAAUAUUGCACAAUGGGGGAAACCCUGAUGCAGCAACGCCGCGUGAGUGAAGAAGUAUUUCGGUAUGUAAAGCUCUAUCAGCAGGGAAGAAGAUGACGGUACCUGAUUAAGAAGCCCCGGCUAACUACGUGCCAGCAGCCGCGGUAAUACGUAGGGGGCAAGCGUUAUCCGGAUUUACUGGGUGUAAAGGGAGCGCAGACGGCAGUGCAAGUCUGAAGUGAAAGGUGGGGGCCCAACCCCCGGACUGCUUUGGAAACUGUAUAGCUGGAGUGCAGGAGAGGUAAGUGGAAUUCCUAGUGUAGCGGUGAAAUGCGUAGAUAUUAGGAGGAACACCAGUGGCGAAGGCGGCUUACUGGACUGUAACUGACGUUGAGGCUCGAAAGCGUGGGGAGCAAACAGGAUUAGAUACCCCGGUAAG